Molecule: ribosomal RNA, 529 nt
Filed under: uncultured bacterium
Lineage: Bacteria
Description: partial 16S ribosomal RNA
Rfam family: Bacterial small subunit ribosomal RNA
Source: RNAcentral
UGGGGAAUAUUGCACAAUGGGCGCAAGCCUGAUGCAGCCAUGCCGCGUGUGUGAAGAAGGCCUUCGGGUUGUAAAGCACUUUCAGCGAGGAGGAAGGUGGUGAACUUAAUACGUUCAUCAAUUGACGUUACUCGCAGAAGAAGCACCGGCUAACUCCGUGCCAGCAGCCGCGGUAAUACGGAGGGUGCAAGCGUUAAUCGGAAUUACUGGGCGUAAAGCGCACGCAGGCGGUUUGUUAAGUCAGAUGUGAAAUCCCCGGGCUCAACCUGGGAACUGCAUUUGAAACUGGCAAGCUAGAGUCUCGUAGAGGGGGGUAGAAUUCCAGGUGUAGCGGUGAAAUGCGUAGAGAUCUGGAGGAAUACCGGUGGCGAAGGCGGCCCCCUGGANGAAGACUGACGCUCAGGUGCGAAAGCGUGGGGAGCAAACAGAUUAGAUACCCUGGUAGUCCACGCUGUAAAACGAUGUCGAUUUUGGAGGGUUGUGCCCCUUGAGGCGUGGNUUCCGGAGCUAACGNGUUAAAUCGACCGCC